Molecule: ribosomal RNA, 269 nt
Filed under: uncultured prokaryote
Description: partial 16S ribosomal RNA
Rfam family: Bacterial small subunit ribosomal RNA
Source: RNAcentral
CAGCAGCCGCGGUAAUACGGAGGGUGCGAGCGUUGUCCGGAAUCAUUGGGCGUAAAGCGCACGUAGGCGGUCGAGUAAGUCUCAUGGUGAAAUGCCGGGGCUCAACCCCGUGCCUGCCAGGGAUACUGCACGACUGGAGACAGGUAGAGGCCAGCGGAAUUCCGGGUGUAGCGGUGGAAUGCGUAGAGAUCCGGAAGAACACCGGAGGCGAAGGCGGCUGGCUGGACCUGAUCUGACGCUGAGGUGCGAAAGCGUGGGGAGCGAACAGG